This 430-nucleotide ribosomal RNA is filed under the name uncultured bacterium. Its description in RNAcentral is "partial 16S ribosomal RNA". It matches the Rfam family "Bacterial small subunit ribosomal RNA", at positions 354 to 796 of the family's 1533-position model. The record is from RNAcentral.
GUGGGGAAUAUUGCACAAUGGGCGGAAGCCUGAUGCAGCAACGCCGCGUGCGGGAUGACGGCCUUCGGGUUGUAAACCGCUUUCAGCAGGGACGAAGCGCAAGUGACGGUACCUGCAGAAGAAGCACCGGCUAACUACGUGCCAGCAGCCGCGGUGAUACGUAGGGUGCGAGCGUUGUCCGGAUUUAUGGGGCGUAAAGAGCUUGUAGGCGGUUGGUUGCGUCGAAAGUGCAAACUCAGGGCUUAACUCUGAGCCUGCUUUCGAUACGGGCUGACUGGAGGAAGGUAGGGGAGAAUGGAAUUCCCGGUGGAGCGGUGGAAUGCGCAGAUAUCGGGAGGAACACCAGUGGCGAAGGCGGUUCUCUGGACCUUUCCUGACGCUGAGAAGCGAAAGCGUGGGGAGCAAACAGGAUUAGAUACCCCAGUAGUCC